Molecule: ribosomal RNA, 253 nt
Filed under: uncultured bacterium
Lineage: Bacteria
Description: partial 16S ribosomal RNA
Rfam family: Bacterial small subunit ribosomal RNA
Source: RNAcentral
UACAGAGGGGGCAAGCGUUGUUCGGAAUUACUGGGCGUAAAGCGUGCGCAGGCGGCUAUGCAAGACAGAUGUGAAAUCCCCGGGCUCAACCUGGGAACUGCAUUUGUGACUGCAUGGCUAGAGUACGGCAGAGGGGGAUGGAAUUCCGCGUGUAGCAGUGAAAUGCGUAGAUAUGCGGAGGAACACCGAUGGCGAAGGCAAUCCCCUGGGCCUGUACUGACGCUCAUGCACGAAAGCGUGGGGAGCAAACAGG